Molecule: long non-coding RNA, 1158 nt
Organism: Hyaena hyaena (striped hyena)
Lineage: Eukaryota; Metazoa; Chordata; Mammalia; Carnivora; Hyaenidae
Exons: 4
Source: RefSeq, a predicted model, not a curated record
GUGGAGAGAAGAGGAAAAAAGAAGUAGUCGAGUUUGAAUCUCACAAGGUUACUGUGCUGGAAGAAAUGGAAAUGAUGCAGGCAUGGAGAAGAAAUUUGGAGGAAGACAUGGAAAAGCCAGAAGAUGCCACCUCCAUCACUUCCGUCAUCAAAGAGAAAGGAGGAGGGUAGUUACCGGAAUGGCAGUGACCGAGUACACUCUUCUUCCUCCAACCACCCCAGUCACAGAGGUUUGUUCAGAGGUAAACACAUGGUCCAAAUCAGCCUAGAGUUCACCCAGGAAGACAGCUGUUUCUCUCUGCUACGGUCAUCAGGAGGAGAGUGAACCCUGUCCUUGAGUCAGAACCUCCUGCCAGGGCACAGGCAUGUGGAAGAAUACAAUAAAGCUCCCAUUGACUCAACUGACUGGAAAUCAGAGGUGAUGGCAGCCCUAUUGAUGUAAUCCAUACAAAUCAGUUUGCAGCAGAAGACAGCAGUGUGGAGAAGGGCUUGGAGUAGAAGUGAAUGGGACAAAUGGAAGAUACCCAGCACUGAUCAUCUGCCAAUGUUCAAACAAGAGUUUAGAGUUUGACUCUCCCCAAGCUUCCUUAACAGCCUCGAAUACAGUAUAUUCUUCAUAGCAUUGUCCCAGUUUUUUAGCUCAACAAGUUCACAUAAACCAUGGUUUCUGCUAAGAGAAUGCCUUUUGAACCUUUUUGAAGGACACCCUAGUGGCAGAAGGGAAUCAAUAUUUAAUCAAUUUUUUUUGCCAGGAUAUCUGAGAGCAUAGCUUGAAAUUUACUGUGCAUAUGAAAUUUCUUCCAUGUUUCUUUUCAGCUAAAUAAUUGAUGUGAGUUUUGAAUUGUACUGCAUAAAACCCUUGUUUGUUCUUAUACCGAAAUUAAUUACACAAAGGAAAAAAGAAAACCAAAAAAAGAUCCUAACUUUUUAAGAUAGUCUUUUCAGAUCUGUCAAUUUCCAAUAAUAAAGUAAAAAUAAGAUCAUGCUUUUUUUCUUGAAUCUAUAUAAUGUUAGAAGCCAUAAAUAUUACAUCUUCACAUUCCUAUCUAUCAUCCUCUGCCGUGGCUGAUACUACUUUUCAGUAAAACUCUGCUCAGUGAGGUUCUGGUAUUCCUUAAGAUGGUAUCGCUUGUUAAAUAAGACACGAAAGGUAUUGCAU